AGAGUUUGAUCCUGGCUCAGGACGAACGCUGGCGGCGUGCUUAACACAUGCAAGUCUAAGGAGAAAGUUCCUUCGGGAAUGAGUAAACUGGCGAACGGGUGAGUAACGCGUAGGUAACCUACCCUUAAGCUCGGGAUAACCCACCGAAAGGUGAGCUAAUACCGGAUAAUAUCUUUCCUCAUAAGGGGUAAAGAUCAAAGGUGGCUUCGGCUAUCACUUAUGGAUGGGCCUGCGUAAGAUUAGCUAGUUGGUAGGGUAAAAGCCUACCAAGGCUACGAUCUUUAGCUGGUCUGAGAGGAUGAUCAGCCACAUCGGGACUGAGACACGGCCCGAACUCCUACGGGAGGCAGCAGUGGGGAAUAUUGGACAAUGGGGGCAACCCUGAUCCAGCAAUACCGCGUGUGUGAAGAAGGCCUGAGGGUUGUAAAGCACUUUCAAUUGUGAAGAAAAGUUAGCGGUUAAUAACCGUUAGCCUUGACGUUAACUUUAGAAGAAGCACCGGCUAACUCCGUGCCAGCAGCCGCGGUAAUACGGAGGGUGCAAGCGUUAAUCGGAAUUACUGGGCGUAAAGCGUGCGUAGGCGGUUUAUUAAGUCAGAUGUGAAAGCCCCGGGCUUAACCUGGGAACUGCAUUUGAAACUGGUCAACUAGAGUAUGGUAGAGGAAGUGGAAUUUCUGGUGUAGCGGUGAAAUGCGUAGAUAUCAGAAGGAACAUCAAUGGCGAAGGCAGCUUUCUGGACCAAUACUGACGCUGAGGUACGAAAGCGUGGGUAGCAAACAGGAUUAGAUACCCUGGUAGUCCACGCCGUAAACGAUGAUAACUAGCCGUUGGGGGGAUUUACCCUUUAGUGGCGAAGCUAACGCGUUAAGUUAUCCGCCUGGGGAGUACGGCCGCAAGGUUAAAACUCAAAGGAAUUGACGGGGACCCGCACAAGCGGUGGAGCAUGUGGUUUAAUUCGAUGCAACGCGAAGAACCUUACCUGGUCUUGACAUCCUGCGAACUUUCUAGAAAUAGAUUGGUGCCUUCGGGAACGCAGUGACAGGUGCUGCAUGGCUGUCGUCAGCUCGUGUCGUGAGAUGUUGGGUUAAGUCCCGUAACGAGCGCAACCCCUAUCCUUAUUUGCCAGCACGUCAUGGUGGGAACUAUAAGGAGACUGCCGGUGAUAAACCGGAGGAAGGCGGGGACGACGUCAAGUCAUCAUGGCCCUUACGACCAGGGCUACACACGUGCUACAAUGGGAAGGACAAAGAGCCGCGAAGCCGCGAGGUGUAGCUAAUCUCAGAAACCUUUUCGUAGUCCGGAUUGGAGUCUGCAACUCGACUCCAUGAAGUCGGAGUCGCUAGUAAUCCCGGAUCAGCAACGCCGGGGUGAAUACGUUCCCGGGCCUUGUACACACCGCCCGUCACACCACGAAAGUCAGCAACACCCGAAGUCAGCUGCCUAACUCUUAGGAGAAGGAGCUGCCGAAGGUGGGGUCGGCGAUUGGGGUGAAGUCGUAACAAGGUAACC
This 1509-nucleotide ribosomal RNA is filed under the name uncultured bacterium. RNAcentral describes it as "partial 16S ribosomal RNA". It matches the Rfam family "Bacterial small subunit ribosomal RNA". The record is from RNAcentral.